CACGUAGGAGGCGAGCGUUGUCCGGAAUCAUUGGGCGUAAAGAGCGCGCAGGCGGCUUGGCAAGUCGGGUGUGAAAUCCCGGGGCUCAACCCCGUGACUGCAUCCGAUACUGUCAGGCUAGAGGUAGGUAGGGGAGAUCGGAAUUCCUGGUGUAGCGGUGAAAUGCGCAGAUAUCGGGAAGAACACCCGUGGCGAAGGCGGUUCUCUGGGACGGUACUGACGCUGAGACGCGAAAGCGUGGGGAGCGAACAGG
Molecule: ribosomal RNA, 253 nt
Filed under: uncultured bacterium
Lineage: Bacteria
Description: partial 16S ribosomal RNA
Rfam family: Bacterial small subunit ribosomal RNA
Source: RNAcentral